Molecule: unclassified non-coding RNA, 339 nt
Filed under: soil metagenome
Description: partial contains 5.8S ribosomal RNA, internal transcribed spacer 2, and large subunit ribosomal RNA
Rfam family: 5.8S ribosomal RNA (bases 1-121)
Source: RNAcentral
GAUGAAGAACGUAGCGAAAUGCGAUAAGUAAUGCGAAUUGCAGAAUUUCCGUGAGUCAUCGAAUCUUUGAACGCACAUUGCGCCCGCCAGUAUUCUGGCGGGCAUGCCUGUCUGAGCGUCAUUUCAACCCUCAAGCAACUUCUGCUUGGUGUUGGGGAUCGGCCGUCAAACGCCGCCCCCGAAAUCUAUUGGCGAUCUCGCUGUAGCUUCCUAUGCGUAGUAGUAACAUCUCGCAUCUGGAGAGCGGCGCGGUCAUGCCGUAAAACACCCAACUUCUCAGGUUGACCUCAGAUCAGGUAGGAAUACCCGCUGAACUUAAGCAUAUCAAUAAGCGGAGGA